GUAAGUCAUUGGAUCUUGAGAAGCACAUUCAAUUCAAAAAAUUUUGUUCAAAAACAUGGUGUCACAAAUGGGCUUUUUCACCAUCAUCUUCGUGGUGAUCAUUACAAAUUACGUGUCAGUGAAAGGUGACUGCGAAAUGGACUGUACCGAUUUGCAAGUCCAACAAUAUUACCAUUCAUUGGCUAACAUUCAAUCGUCAGACACAAGCACCCGAGUGAUUAACGCUGAAACUGAUGUAAAAUCAGUCAUCCAAGCAUAUAGAGAUUGCAUUAGGGUCUGCAAAGAACGCCAGCCGGGAAAUGUUUCAAUUUGACUUGGUGUCCAACGGAAAAUGAUGUCUUUUUGGUGAGACCGCAAUUGUUACAACAAUCAAUACGAUACAAACUAAUGCAAAAUCAAAAUUAAUCCUGGAAUUCAUUGAGCGUGUAAAUAAAGACGCCGAGUUGGUAUCGUUUCGUAA
Long non-coding RNA from Bradysia coprophila, 460 nucleotides. RefSeq lists it as uncharacterized. The record is from RefSeq and is a predicted model, not a curated record. NCBI's taxonomy places the organism in Eukaryota, Metazoa, Arthropoda, Insecta, Diptera, Sciaridae.